Gossypium raimondii (Peruvian cotton) is the source of this 107-nucleotide non-coding RNA. The record is from Rfam. Lineage: Eukaryota; Viridiplantae; Streptophyta; Magnoliopsida; Malvales; Malvaceae.
AUUCCAUGAUGUGGGCACUUCCGUAAUAAUUCUUUGUACCUUUCCCAUGCCUCAUACAAUGACACAUCAUCCAUUUGUUGGAAAGUAGUGAUGUCAUUCCUCAACUU